This 398-nucleotide unclassified non-coding RNA is filed under the name soil metagenome. RNAcentral's name for it is "partial contains 5.8S ribosomal RNA, internal transcribed spacer 2, and large subunit ribosomal RNA". The stretch from base 1 to 120 matches the Rfam family "5.8S ribosomal RNA", at positions 35 to 154 of the family's 154-position model. The record is from RNAcentral.
GAUGAAGAACGCAGCGAAAUGCGAUAAGUAAUGUGAAUUGCAGAAUUCAGUGAAUCAUCGAAUCUUUGAACGCACCUUGCGCUCCUUGGUAUUCCGAGGAGCAUGCCUGUUUGAGUGUCAUUAAAUUCUCAACUAUUAUCAGCUUUAGCUGAUAAUGGCUUGGAUAUGGGGGUUUAUUUUGCUGGCUUCUUCACAGAUUUUCAGCUCCCCUUAAAUGCAUUAGCCGGUGCCCCGCGUGGACUGUCUAUUGGUGUGAUAAUUAUCUACGCCGUGGACAUCUACAAUCAUAUGGGUUUGCACUGCUUCCAACCGUCUGUUUAUUCAGACAAUACAUGACAAUUUGACCUCAAAUCAGGUAGGACUACCCGCUGAACUUAAGCAUAUCAAUAAGCGGAGGA